RNAcentral lists this ribosomal RNA (801 nucleotides) under uncultured bacterium. Its description in RNAcentral is "bacterial SSU rRNA". It matches the Rfam family "Bacterial small subunit ribosomal RNA", at positions 66 to 839 of the family's 1533-position model. The record is from RNAcentral.
ACGAGAACGUUUCAGCUUGCUGAAACUAGUAAAGUGGCGCACGGGUGAGUAACGCGUGGGUAAUCUACCUCCGAAUUGGGGAUAACAUUGCGAAAGCGACGCUAAUACCGGAUAAUAUCUCGAGGACGACGGUUCUUGAGAUCAAAGGUGGCCUCUCCUUGGAAGCUACCGUUUGGAGAUGAGCCCGCGUACCAUUAGCUUGUUGGUAGGGUAAUGGCCUACCAAGGCAACGAUGGUUAGCUGGUCUGAGAGGAUGAUCAGCCACACUGGAACUGAAACACGGUCCAGACUCCUACGGGAGGCAGCAGUGAGGAAUUUUGCGCAAUGGGGUAACCCCUGACGCAGCAACGCCGCGUGAGUGAUGAAGGCCUUCGGGUCGUAAAGCUCUGUCAAGUGGGAAGAACCUGCCCUGUGCUAAUAUCGCUGGGCACUGACGGUACCACUGAAGGAAGCACCGGCUAACUCCGUGCCAGCAGCCGCGGUAACACGGAGGGUGCAAGCGUUAUUCGGAAUCACUGGGCGUAAAGAGCGCGUAGGCGGUCUCUUAAGUCGGAUGUGAAAGCCCGGGGCUCAACCCCGGAAGUGCAUUUGAAACUAAGGGACUUGAGUAUGGGAGAGGGAAGUGGAAUUCCUGGUGUAGCGGUGAAAUGCGUAGAUAUCAGGAGGAACACCGGUGGCGAUGGCGACUUCCUGGACCAAUACUGACGCUGAGGCGCGAAGGCGUGGGGAGCAAACAGGAUUAGAUACCCUGGUAGUCCACGCAGUAAACGUUGAACACUAGGUGUAGCGGGUAUUGACCCC